AGAGUUUGAUCAUGGCUCAGGACGAACGCUGGCGGCGUGCUUAACACAUGCAAGUGGAGCGACGAACCAGGGCUUGCCCUGGGGCAGAGCCGCGAACGGGUGAGUAACACGUGGGCAACGUGCCCCAAUGAUCGGGACAACCCGGGGAAACCCGGGCUAAUACCGAAUGUGCUCCCCUCACACCAGUGAGGGAUGGAAAGGAAGCUUCGGCCUCCGCAUUGGGAUCGGCCCGCGGCCCAUUAGCUUGUUGGUGAGGUAACGGCUCACCAAGGCUGCGAUGGGUAGCUGGUCUGAGAGGACGAUCAGCCACACUGGGACUGAGACACGGCCCAGACUCCUACGGGAGGCAGCAGUGGGGAAUCUUGCGCAGUGCGCGAAAGCGUGACGCAGCAACGCCGCGUGGGGGAAGAAGGCCUUCGGGUUGUAAACCCCUUUCAGGAGGGACGAAGGUUGGGCGGUUAAUAGCCGACCUGACUGACGGUACCUCCAGAAGAAGCCCCGGCUAACUACGUGCCAGCAGCCGCGGUAAUAC
RNAcentral lists this ribosomal RNA (532 nucleotides) under uncultured bacterium. Its description in RNAcentral is "bacterial SSU rRNA". It matches the Rfam family "Bacterial small subunit ribosomal RNA", at positions 8 to 526 of the family's 1533-position model. The record is from RNAcentral.